This 300-nucleotide ribosomal RNA is filed under the name uncultured Archaeoglobus sp. RNAcentral describes it as "bacterial SSU rRNA". The stretch from base 54 to 300 matches the Rfam family "Bacterial small subunit ribosomal RNA", at positions 547 to 794 of the family's 1533-position model. Lineage: Archaea; Methanobacteriati; Methanobacteriota; Archaeoglobi; Archaeoglobales; Archaeoglobaceae. The record is from RNAcentral.
CGGUGAACGAGUGGCAAGGGGCGCGGGUAAGACGGAGGGGGCGUGGGUUAAGGGGAAUUAGCGGGCGUAAAGCGUGUGCAGGGGGUUAUGUAAGACAGAGGUGAAAUCCCCGGGCUCAACCUGGGAACGGCCUUGGGGAGGGCAGGGCUAGAGUGCGGCAGAGGGGGAUGGAAUUGCGCGUGUAGCAGUGAAAUGCGUAGAUAUGCGGAGGAACACCGAUGGCGAAGGCAAUCCCCUGGGCCUGCACUGACGCUCAUGCACGAAAGCGUGGGGAGCAAACAGGAUUAGAUACCCGGUAGC